GGGCGUAAAGGGUGCGUAGGUGGUUUGGCAAGUUGGCGGCGUAAUUCCGAGGCUCAACCUCGGGACUGCUUUGGAAACUGUAGAUCUAGAGUGCUGGAGAGGUAAGUGGAAUUCCUAGUGUAGCGGUGAAAUGCGUAGAUAUUAGGAGGAACACCAGUGGCGAAGGCGGCUUACUGGACAGUAACUGACGUUGAGGCUCGAAAGCGUGGGGAGCAA
This 216-nucleotide ribosomal RNA is filed under the name uncultured bacterium. RNAcentral describes it as "partial 16S ribosomal RNA". It matches the Rfam family "Bacterial small subunit ribosomal RNA", at positions 556 to 771 of the family's 1533-position model. The record is from RNAcentral.